Molecule: ribosomal RNA, 290 nt
Filed under: uncultured Hyphomicrobiaceae bacterium
Lineage: Bacteria; Pseudomonadati; Pseudomonadota; Alphaproteobacteria; Hyphomicrobiales; Hyphomicrobiaceae
Description: partial 16S ribosomal RNA
Rfam family: Bacterial small subunit ribosomal RNA
Source: RNAcentral
GGACAAUGGGCGCAAGCCUGAUCCAGCCAUGCCGCGUGGAUGAUGAAGGCCCUAGGGUUGUAAAGUCCUUUCGGCGGGGAAGAUAAUGACGGUACCCGCAGAAGAAGCCCCGGCUAACUUCGUGCCAGCAGCCGCGGUAAUACGAAGGGGGCUAGCGUUGCUCGGAAUCACUGGGCGUAAAGCGCACGUAGGCGGAUUCCUAAGUCGGUGGUGAAAUCCUGGAGCUCAACUCCAGAACUGCCUCCGAUACUGAGAGUCUCCGAGUCCGGGAGAGGUGAGUGGAACUGCAA